This 253-nucleotide ribosomal RNA is filed under the name uncultured bacterium. RNAcentral describes it as "partial 16S ribosomal RNA". It matches the Rfam family "Bacterial small subunit ribosomal RNA", at positions 524 to 776 of the family's 1533-position model. The record is from RNAcentral.
UACGAAGGGUGCAAGCGUUGUUCGGAUUUAUUGGGCGUAAAGGGCGCGUAGGCGGAUUGCUAAGUCAGAUGUGAAAUAUCGGGGCUCAACCCCGAAAGUGCGUCUGAAACUGGCGAUCUAGGAUACUGGAGAGGAAAGCGGAAUUUCGCAUGUAGGAGUAAAAUCCGUAGAGAUGCGAAGGAACACCGGAGGCGAAGGCGGCUUUCUGGCCGGUAAUCGACGCUGAGGCGCGAAAGCGUGGGGAGCAAACAGG